AGUGGGCCAUGUCCAAAGGAUGUGGCCACCUGUUUUCUGUGGCUAGUGAACUAUGGUUCACCUCCUUCAUCUCCAGGUCUCAGACAACCCAGGAGAUGAACCGUCAGAGUCUCCGUAUGAAAGUGCAGAUGAAACACAGACUGAAGCGUCCGUCUCAUCUAAGAAAUCUGAAAGAGGAAUGGCUGCCAAAAAGGAGUACGUGUGUCAGCUGUGUGAGAAGACAGGCAGUCUCUUACUGUGUGAAGGCCCCUGUUGUGGAGCAUUCCACUUAGCCUGCCUUGGACUUUCCCAGAGACCAGAAGGAAGAUUCACCUGCACUGAAUGUGCCUCAG
This 332-nucleotide long non-coding RNA is filed under the name Rattus norvegicus (Norway rat). Its description in RNAcentral is "long non-coding RNA NONRATT010053". Lineage: Eukaryota; Metazoa; Chordata; Mammalia; Rodentia; Muridae. The record is from RNAcentral.